RNAcentral lists this ribosomal RNA (490 nucleotides) under uncultured bacterium. RNAcentral describes it as "bacterial SSU rRNA". It matches the Rfam family "Bacterial small subunit ribosomal RNA", at positions 28 to 507 of the family's 1533-position model. The record is from RNAcentral.
GAUGAACGCUAGCGAUAGGCCUAACACAUGCAAGUCGAGGGGCAUCACAUGAAGUAGCAAUACGGAUGGUGGCGACCGGCGCACGGGUGAGUAACACGUAUGCAACCUGCCUUCAACAAGGGGAUAACCCGUUGAAAGACGGACUAAUACCCUAUAACACAGGGGUCCCGCAUGGGAAUAUUUGUUAAAGGACAACCGGUUGAAGAUGGGCAUGCGUUCCAUUAGCUAGUUGGCGGGGUAACGGCCCACCAAGGCAACGAUGGGUAGGGGAACUGAGAGGUUUAUCCCCCACACUGGUACUGAGACACGGACCAGACUCCUACGGGAGGCAGCAGUGAGGAAUAUUGGUCAAUGGACGCAAGUCUGAACCAGCCACGUCGCGUGAAGGAAGACGGCCCUACGGGUUGUAAACUUCUUUUGCAAGGGAAUAAAGUGGGCCACGUGUGGCCUUUUGCAAGUACCUUGCGAAUAAGGAUCGGCUAACUCCGUG